This 203-nucleotide unclassified non-coding RNA is filed under the name Hevea brasiliensis (rubber tree). The record is from RNAcentral. Lineage: Eukaryota; Viridiplantae; Streptophyta; Magnoliopsida; Malpighiales; Euphorbiaceae.
UUUGUCUUCAUUUUCUUCCCAGGGUAAUUUUGCCUCUCUUAUCAAGAAUAUCCAAGGAAGAAACCACCCCAUAAAAUUAAAUUGAGUUCUGUUGUAAAGAUUCUUGAUUUACAUCCAGAAAAAUAAAGAGGAAAAACUUUUUGCUACUUGUAAUGUUUGACAAACAAUUGAUCUUUUCUACCUUGUGCAGGAUACUACUUUGG